Molecule: unclassified non-coding RNA, 212 nt
Filed under: Hevea brasiliensis (rubber tree)
Lineage: Eukaryota; Viridiplantae; Streptophyta; Magnoliopsida; Malpighiales; Euphorbiaceae
Source: RNAcentral
GAACCUUGACUGGAACGUGGCCAGUACCCCAUGCUCAAUACCUGGACCAUAGACUCUCACCUUCGACGCAUCUGGUGCCCCUGCGACUUUCAAAACAAAAGGCGAUCCAGGGACGUGUUGUCCAGCAUAUUUGACAGUCAACGCGUGUCUGCCCGCUUCUUGUGGUUUUACAUUCAGGGUGAAAGUAGCAUCGCCGUGAUCGUAUAAUUCGC